Long non-coding RNA from Polypterus senegalus (gray bichir), 191 nucleotides. RefSeq lists it as uncharacterized. The transcript is spliced from 3 exons. Lineage: Eukaryota; Metazoa; Chordata; Cladistia; Polypteriformes; Polypteridae. The record is from RefSeq and is a predicted model, not a curated record.
AAAAGCUCAAUCACCACAUAUCAACAAUAUUUGGAAAGACUCAUAAAAGAUUCAUACAAUGAUAAAAGAUGUGAUGUUUUCCCAUGUUUGAAAUCUCAAGAUACAGCUCAAUGCUUGAAAACACUCUAGACUUUGAAAAUUGACAUAUUUGGUGACGAAGCGGAAACGGAAGUAGAAGCAGACAAUGGCCG